UACGUAGGGGGCAAGCGUUGUCCGGAAUUAUUGGGCGUAAAGAGCUCGUAGGCGGUUUGUCGCGUCUGCCGUGAAAGUCCGGGGCUCAACUCCGGAUCUGCGGUGGGUACGGGCAGACUAGAGUGAUGUAGGGGAGACUGGAAUUCCUGGUGUAGCGGUGAAAUGCGCAGAUAUCAGGAGGAACACCGGUGGCGAAGGCGGUUCUCUGGGCCUUACCUGACGCUGAGGAGCGAAAGCGUGGGGAGCGAACAGG
This 253-nucleotide ribosomal RNA is filed under the name uncultured bacterium. RNAcentral describes it as "partial 16S ribosomal RNA". It matches the Rfam family "Bacterial small subunit ribosomal RNA", at positions 524 to 776 of the family's 1533-position model. The record is from RNAcentral.